Macrobrachium nipponense is the source of this 505-nucleotide long non-coding RNA. RefSeq lists it as uncharacterized. The record is from RefSeq and is a predicted model, not a curated record. The transcript is spliced from 2 exons. Lineage: Eukaryota; Metazoa; Arthropoda; Malacostraca; Decapoda; Palaemonidae.
ACAGUUUGUGAUGGAUCGACUUGUGAAAGACUUUGAAAAUCAACGUGCCACCAACAGAAACCUUGUCAGAGAUCACCUGAUCUUAUUCGAUCUCCUGCUGCUGGACUGAGAAGAGGAAAUGUCGUUAUCAAUGAAAGAGGACCUCGAGGAGGAUGUCAGCAGAGGAUCAUUUCCGAGGUGUCAAAGAAGACCAAAUCGAAGAAGAAGCGCGAAGAAGAGAAAUCCUUGGUUGAGGAAGAAGAUAUUGAAGAAGAAAAAAAAUUGAGGAAGAUGAUGACGACGACAAUGACAAAGAUGAUUCUGACAAUGAGAGUGAGGAUGAGGAUGACGAUGACGAUGACGACAAUGAUGAUGGACAAGGAAGAUGAUGGCGACAUGGAUAGUGACGUUGAGAUGGAUUCAGAUGAUGAGAAGAAGGAUGAGUAGAUGACAUGCUGAGUAGAUGACAUGCUAUGUGAUGUUUAUGUAUUUUAUAAAUCUUGAAAAUGUAUAAUAAAAAGUUCAA